AUUGAACGCUGGCGGCAGGCCUAACACAUGCAAGUCGAACGGUAACAGGAAGAAGCUUGCUUCUUUGCUGACGAGUGGCGGACGGGUGAGUAAUGUCUGGGAAACUGCCUGAUGGAGGGGGAUAACUACUGGAAACGGUAGCUAAUACCGCAUAACGUCGCAAGACCAAAGAGGGGGACCUUCGGGCCUCUUGCCAUCGGAGGUGCCCAGAUGGGAUUAGCUAGUAGGUGGGGUAACGGCUCACCUAGGCGACGAUCCCUAGCUGGUCUGAGAGGAUGACCAGCCACACUGGAACUGAGACACGGUCCAGACUCCUACGGGAGGCAGCAGUGGGGAAUAUUGCACAAAGGGCGCAAGCCUGAUGCAGCCAUGCCGCGUGUAUGAAGAAGGCCUUCGGGUUGUAAAGUACUUUCAGCGGGGAGGAAGGGAGUAAAGUUAAUACCUUUACUCAUUGACGUUACCCGCAGAAGAAGCACCGGCUAACUCCGUG
Molecule: ribosomal RNA, 490 nt
Filed under: uncultured bacterium
Lineage: Bacteria
Description: partial 16S ribosomal RNA
Rfam family: Bacterial small subunit ribosomal RNA
Source: RNAcentral